GGCUGGCGGAGAGCAGUGUGUGGACGGGGUAUUUGUAAAAGACUCUUCGAUUUUAAGUUAGUGGAAGAACCAACAGAAUGAGACUAAGGUGAACAGUGAUAUGCUGUUGUUACUUUCUUUGUAUUUGCUGUCCAUCAUUAACCAAGACCUGGAUGCAGAUAUUACUUUUCCCAGAGGUAUUUCUCCUGGUAAAUUCUCCAGUUUAUCUUGAACAACUCUUUCAUUCCUUGUACAUAUAUUACCAAAAUUGUAAUAUUUAACUAGUGCUCCUUUAUGUUGUUUGGUUAUUUCCUUUGACCUCACAAUGUCAUUGCAUUUGUAGCUGAAAAUAUUAUUCUUCCAGAUGUGCAUUUGUAAAUGACUUUUAUACUUAGGUAACAGUUUUCUCCACAAAUUAGAAUUGUGUGCACUGUUUUAUGCCUCUCACCUCAAAUUAUUAAAGAAUCCCCUAUCUUGGUCUGAUGUCCAUCCCUACAUUGAUUUUAGAGACACAUGUUCCCAGUUUUGAGAGAAGUUUCAGUUGAAAUUCCAAACUCUUAAUCUUGUCUUAAUCUAUGACUGUUUUAGUAGCUUUUGCAUUAUAAUGUUUUACCACUUUGAAAUACAGAAGGAUAUCACUUGCAUUUACCAUAUUCUGCUGAUGAUCUUUUUCAUUGAGGCUCUAAAUUGGAUGAGCUUAUAACCUCUAGUUUUUGUUUUCUGAAUUAGGUAUCAUCUGUUUAUGAUCAAUCUAGAAUGCAAGAAAUUUGAGGAAAUUCUAAUGAGCUGAUUUGUAACUGUGAGGAGCUGAUCUGUUCAAUUUGCAAAGGUUACUGAUUCAGAGAAUUCUCAGUGACUGAUCUGCUAUGCUCCAGAUUCAUGAGGCCCAUUCCAGAGCUAGUUGGAUAAGUUGGUAUCAAUAGAAGAAAACCUCUAAGAUGGAAUAUUAUGUUGUAGGUGGUAGGUGAAAUAAUAAAGUAUUAUGUCCAAUUUUGAGAAAAAGGUGAAAGUUACCUUGUUAGAGUUUUUCUAUGAAAUGUAUCAAACUUGCACCAGGCUAUUCAAUCUGAUUCUUUAUUGUGCCCAACUCAAACUCUGUUUAGUUGAUGCAGAGUUAAGGACCAAUUACUCUUUUCAGUAUUUUUAAGAAAAAUCAGAGAGAAUCAAACACUAACUAUACAAACGAGAAAAAUAAGAGAGAAACAAACACUAACAAUUACUCUUUUGGACAAAUAAGUUUAACCCCUGCUCCUCAAUUCACUAUACCAAAUACUUCACAAAUCACUCCUCUCAAGGUUAAUCUUGCUGACAAAUAUCGCUAUGUAAGGUUCUCAUGCACAUGCCUCCACAACAACAUAGUACUCGAUCACCCCCUGCAGUUGUGUAACUUUUGUUCUCUUCUUUUACUCUCCGAAAGCAAUAGAUAAGAAAAUGAAGACAAAAUUGUGGUUGAUAGAAAUUUUUAAGAAAAUAUUCCUUGAAAGGCAAACUAGUACUUGUCAGUAUUCAUAAAACACAUUUGCAAUUCGGCCAUUCCCAUGAAAACAAAGAAUCCAAUGCUACAAUUUUCUCACUCACUCAGUAAUGAUGCUACAAAAUAAUGGAGGAGAUGUAGAAGAAGCAAAGACAGAAUCUGUAAAGGUAGUGGAUGCUUUAGGUACCUAGACAUGAGACCUUCACGUAAUCACAUGAUUAGGUCAAUAAAUCACCAAAGGAUGUGCCAAUUGUUUUAACCUUAGUGAGAAUCUUAGGAUCGACCACUAUACUAUUAUUACCACCCUCUAGGUACUUUUCCCUAAUAUCAAUACACACAUUUAGAAAAACAAGACCCUAUGUACUUGUCUUCUUUUAUUUCCCAACUUUGUGUUUGCAUUGGUGGCCAAUUAAGUCUGCUACUUGAACCAUUAUAGCAUAGAAUUAUGAUGCACAUCGUCCUCAUCAACCUUCCUUCUAAUUACUAUUAGCCAAAACACACUGCACUAUCAAUGGCCUUAGAAGAACUACUACCACCAUAAAAAGAUAUUAGUUGAUACCUCUUUUUUUUAAGCAAGUGAUCAAAAUCAUAUUCCAAGUAGGAAUAAGAGGCCCGGUACGUUCAUGUGAUCUUUGGAGAGAAACACAAUCAUUCAUGCAAAAUGCAUGUAAGGCGAAAACUGAUGGCUCGUGUAUGUUUCUACUAAAACAUGAUAAUCUAGUCACCAUUUCUGACAAUGGAAAGCAGCUCAACAAGUCCUGAGACAUUUACAACCUAACGAUGAAAGUCAAUAUAUAUUGGGGCAUGGUAAUCAUGAUGCAUAGUUAUUUCACAAGCUUGAAUGAUUUUCAAACUGACUUUUCCUGUUUCAAACCAUUUACCUCUUGCAAUAUUGGUUUCAUUGCAAGUUAUUUAUAAUGUUAAUGACAACUCUAAAUUUGGAGCUUCAGAGCCCUAGACAAGGCAUCAAGAGACCUGUUUUUUAUGAUCCAAUUUUUUGGAUGUCAUAUCUCAUAUCUCAUAUCUUGUGCAUUAAAAUGAACAGUUAUGAUCCAGGUGUAACUCUUAAGCUGGCCAAGUUACACAUACCAAUGAAGGUUUUUAUGUGGCUGGCGGAGAGCAGUGUGUGGACGGGGUAUUUGUAAAAGACUCUUCGAUUUUAAGUUAGUGGAAGAACCAACAGAAUGAGACUAAGGUGAACAGUGAUAUGCUGUUGUUACUUUCUUUGUAUUUGCUGUCUAUCAUUAACCAAGACCUGGAUGCAGAUAUUACUUUUCACAGAGGCAUUUCUCUUGGUCAAUUCUCCAGUUUAUCUUGAACAAAACUUUCAUUCCUUGAACAUAUAUUACCAAAAUUGCAAUAUUUAACUAGUGCUCCUUUAUGUUGUUUGGUUAUUUCCUUUGACCUCACAAUGUCAUUGCAUUUGUAGCUGAAAAUAUUAUUCUUCCAGAUGUGCAUUUGUAAAUGACUUUUAUACUUAGGUAACAGUUUUCUCCACAAAUUAGAAUUGUGUGCACUGUUUUAUGCCUCUCACCUCAAAUUAUUAAAGAAUCCCCUAUCUUGGUCUGAUGUCCAUCCCUACAUUGAUUUUAGAGACACAUGUUCCCAGUUUUGAGAGAAGUUUCAGUUGAAAUUCCAAACUCUUAAUCUUGUCUUAAUCUAUGACUGUUUUAGUAGCUUUUGCAUUAUAAUGUUUUACCACUUUGAAAUACAGAAGGAUAUCACUUGCAUUUACCAUAUUCUGCUGAUGAUCUUUUUCAUUGAGGCUCUAAAUUGGAUGAGCUUAUAACCUCUAGUUUUUGUUUUCUGAAUUAGGU
Molecule: long non-coding RNA, 3270 nt
Filed under: Lotus japonicus
Lineage: Eukaryota; Viridiplantae; Streptophyta; Magnoliopsida; Fabales; Fabaceae
Description: long non-coding RNA (LJAP_LNC001909)
Source: RNAcentral